Molecule: small nuclear RNA, 106 nt
Organism: Molossus molossus (Pallas's mastiff bat)
Lineage: Eukaryota; Metazoa; Chordata; Mammalia; Chiroptera; Molossidae
Source: RefSeq, a predicted model, not a curated record
AUUCACUUCGGCAGCACUGACACUGAAAUUGAAAUGACACAGAGAAGAUUAGCAUGGCCCCUUGUGCAAGGAUGGCACUCAAAUUCAAGAAGAAAUCACAUGGGAA